GGGAUGAUCCCACUUUUGAGCCAUGUAAAAGUUGCCCUCUGCUGACUGAGCCACAGCUCUGCAUCAGCUGGGACAUGGGGCCAUUUUUGUCAUAAGGCCUACACUGCUGCCUAAGCAGGAGUCCUUCCAACACAUUAUUUUCCAUGCAGCACAGCCUUUGCUCACCCAACUGAAAGAAUAACAGCCACCCAACUGAUCUGUACUUAGCUGAAAAAUACAGAGCUGUCCCACUCCAUCACACUGCUCACUAUUCCCUGUUGCCUAGAUGGCUUUAGAUGAAGACUUCUCCAUAUCGUUUGCCUGCAAAUGCAUACACCGAAUCUUUCAAACCAGGUUGCAGCAGUAAAGUUUUUAAAUACUGUUGAGGAAGUAUUAAGCUGUUUGAGAAAAAAAAAUGGCAUUCUACACAAUGCUUUGUGUCUCAGGCAGGAAAAUUAUUAGGAAUUUGAUGUCAAAGAGCAAAACAUUUCAAUCUUUCACAGGAUUAUAGCAACGAGAUCUGACAGCAGCCAUAAUUUGUGAAUCAGAAUACAUCAAAAGAGCUCUGUUGAAGGUGUGGUGGUGGUUCAAUUGUAGUGGCAGAUGUGUGAUAUUUUGCAGCCUGUCUGUGACACGGCUCUGAUUGUUCUGCAUUGCAGUUGCUAUGGCUAGGGCUCCUUCGGCUGCAAAGACACUUGAUCACUGACUCUAGGAAUGUACUCACUGAACAGGAGCUAAAAUUUCAGGGCCUAAAAUGAUUCUAAAAGAGUCUGUGGGAGGUGGAGCAGGUGGAGAGCACAGCCACCCAGCUCAUGCAGCCUUCACCCUCACAAUGCUUCCGCCACAGGGCUGACCUGUUGGCAUGGAUAAUGGGAACACGCCAGCUCUGCAGCAGUGCCAAAAGGAAGGCUUUGUGCCCUAACAACAGCAGGACAGGGAUGAUGGGACGCAGGCACACAACAGGACCAAAUGCAGCCAAGCCACUUUACAUCCAGUUUUCAGGUUAACAUGAUGUGACCUGUAGUAACUGCCUGUUUGGCAGAAAUACUGUCCUUUCACAGGGGCAGGUGGUUUAGACAGAAGAGCAAGACUAAGAACCCUGCUGGAAGUGGGAGGCAUGAGAAUGUAGCAGCAGCUUUCCCUUUCUGCCAAGGGGUAGUGGGAGCAACUUAUGUCAGCUUCCCAAAAGGCAAGUUUUAAGAGAAUCACUUUCAAACGAUAUUAAAAUCGCAAAUAUAACAUGAAGUUCGUGGCUACAGGAUAAGUUCUACGCCAUUAAAUAAUAAACAAAACCGAGGGGACA
RNAcentral lists this long non-coding RNA (1282 nucleotides) under Coturnix japonica (Japanese quail). Its description in RNAcentral is "lncRNA (ENSCJPG00005016561.1)". Lineage: Eukaryota; Metazoa; Chordata; Aves; Galliformes; Phasianidae. The record is from RNAcentral.